RNAcentral lists this ribosomal RNA (244 nucleotides) under uncultured Gardnerella sp. Its description in RNAcentral is "partial 16S ribosomal RNA". It matches the Rfam family "Bacterial small subunit ribosomal RNA", at positions 111 to 355 of the family's 1533-position model. Lineage: Bacteria; Bacillati; Actinomycetota; Actinomycetes; Bifidobacteriales; Bifidobacteriaceae. The record is from RNAcentral.
UAAUGCGUGACCAACCUCGCCCCAUGCUCCAGAAUAGCUCUUGGAAACGGGUGGUAAUGCUGGAUGCUCCAACUUGACGCAUGUCUUGUUGGGAAAGUGUUAGUGGCAUGGGAUGGGGUCGCGUCCUAUCAGCUUGUAGGCGGGGUAAUGGCCCACCUAGGCUUCGACGGGUAGCCGGCCUGAGAGGGCGGACGGCCACAUUGGGACUGAGAUACGGCCCAGACUCCUACGGGAGGCAGCAGCU